UCGGUAGCUCAGCUGGUUAGAGCGCUGGCCUGUCACGCCAGAGGUCGAGGGUUCGAGCCCCUUCCG
This 66-nucleotide transfer RNA is filed under the name Candidatus Gallispira edinburgensis. It matches the Rfam family "tRNA", at positions 5 to 66 of the family's 71-position model. Rfam says of the family: Transfer RNA (tRNA) molecules are approximately 80 nucleotides in length. Their secondary structure includes four short double-helical elements and three loops (D, anti-codon, and T loops). Further hydrogen bonds mediate the characteristic L-shaped molecular structure. tRNAs have two regions of fundamental functional importance: the anti-codon, which is responsible for specific mRNA codon recognition, and the 3' end, to which the tRNAs corresponding amino acid is attached (by aminoacyl-tRNA synthetases). tRNAs cope with the degeneracy of the genetic code in two manners: having more than one tRNA (with a specific anti-codon) for a particular amino acid; and 'wobble' base-pairing, i.e. permitting non-standard base-pairing at the 3rd anti-codon position. RNAcentral also lists the same sequence under 1 other name. The record is from RNAcentral. Lineage: Bacteria; Bacillati; Bacillota; Clostridia.